This 1613-nucleotide ribosomal RNA is filed under the name Triticum aestivum (bread wheat). RNAcentral's name for it is "partial small subunit ribosomal RNA". The stretch from base 1431 to 1545 matches the Rfam family "MIR1120/MIR1122 microRNA precursor family". Lineage: Eukaryota; Viridiplantae; Streptophyta; Magnoliopsida; Poales; Poaceae. The record is from RNAcentral.
GAUACGCCUCGCUUUCGUCCACAGAAUAAACCGCCAAACUGUGUGUCCGCGGGUGAGCGCGCAGGCUAGGGUUAGGGUUCCUAGACGCCGUCGCUUGGGCGCGUAACGCGAUGGCCGCAGCCACACCCCACUCGCCGUCGCUUGGGCGCGUAACGCGAUGGCCGCAGCCACACCCCACUCGCCGCCGCCGCCGCAGCUUUCAUCGCCCUUCCUGGAGUAUAUUAGGGCCCCCGGCGGCCUCGACAAGGUCGUGCUCCGUGGCAGGCGCAGCUGCUCCGUGGAGAUCCGUCUUUUUGGAGGUCAAGUAACUUCAUGGAAGAAUGACCAUGGCGAGGAGUUGCUUUUUGUCAGCAGCAAGGCCAUCAAGCCUCCAAAACCGUUUCGUGGUGGGAUACCUAUUUGCUUUCCCCAGUUUGGAACUCAGGGAAAUCUUGAGCAACAUGGAUUUGCAAGAAAUCGGCUUUGGGCUAUUGAUGAUAAUCCACCCCCUUUACCAGUAAAUCCUGCAAUUAAAGCUUUUGUUGAUCUUAUUCUGAAGCCUAGUGAAGAUGAUUUAAAGAUGUGGCCACACAGUUUCGAGUUUCGCUUGAGAAUUGCUCUUGGUGCUGGUGGAGAUUUGAGUCUCACGUCUCGAAUCAGGAAUACCAACACUGAUGGAAGACCUUUUUCUUAUACAUUUGCAUUUCACACAUACUUCUCUGUUUCUGACAUAAGUGAAGUACGUGUCGAAGGGCUGGAAACAAUGGACUACCUUGACAACAUGAAGGGAAAGGAGCGUUUCACAGAGCAAGGAGAUGCUAUUGUAUUUGAAUCAGAAGUUGAUAAGGUAUAUCUUGCUGCACCCUCGAAAGUUGCAAUUAUUGAUCAUGACAUGAGAAGAACAUUCGUCGUGACAAAAGAAGGACUUCCAGAUGCUGUUGUUUGGAACCCUUGGGAUAAGAAGGCAAAAGCUAUGCAAGAUUUUGGGGAUUCAGAAUACAAGCACAUGCUUUGUGUGGAGCCUGCAGCCGUUGAGAAGCCAAUUAGCCUCAAGCCUGGUGAAGAGUGGAAAGGAAGGCUUGGGCUCUCCGCUGUUCCUUCCAGCUACUGUAGUGGGCAGUUAGAUCCAUUAAAGGUCCUUCAUGGUUGAGUUCUCACUUCUUCCUCUUGUACAGAAGCACUUCAUUGCCCUUUCCUAUUUGAUGCUGGGCUGACUCGGACAUUGCCUUGACCUUUCUUCCUUUUCAUCAUCCUCUAUCUUUUGCCCUUUUUGUAUCUACAAGUGAGUAGUAGGGCUGUUCUAAAAUAACAGACCACGUCAGUUGUUUUUAGCCCAGAGCAGGUCAACUCGUCCGUAAUCAAGUCCAUCAGUCUAAAGUAACGUUUCGUGUGGUUCAGUGGCCAUACUGAGGAAUGUUACCAUGUGGUGCAGUUGUAGCAUUUUGUGUUAAUAUGUACUCCCUCUGUUCGGAAUUACUCGUUCAAAAAAUGAAUGUAUCUAGAUGUAUUUUAGUUGUAGAUACAUCCAUUUUUGUGACAAGUAAUUCCGAACGGUGGGAGCAGUAGCAUUUUCUUCCUGCAAAAAAAUUUAUGUAGCCAUGUCAUUUUUUUUUGAGAACCGCCCUCAAGGCAUU